Long non-coding RNA from Toxorhynchites rutilus septentrionalis, 501 nucleotides. RefSeq lists it as uncharacterized. The transcript is spliced from 3 exons. The record is from RefSeq and is a predicted model, not a curated record. NCBI's taxonomy places the organism in Eukaryota, Metazoa, Arthropoda, Insecta, Diptera, Culicidae.
AGUGCUGUGGAACUAAUUAUGUGAUGCAAAUUUCUGCUCAAAGAGAAGCUAUGGUUACAGGUGCACGAUGUCAUCAUUGAGCAUAUUGCCACGGACUGUGUUAUUAACGGCAACAUUCCUUAUUUGAAAUUAUUACUGAACGAGUUCGAGGAUGUCAAACAAAUCUCCGACUGGUUCAUCGGGGGCGGAUUUUGAGCGACUUCAUCGAGCUGAAUGAGGAGUUUGACCUGAUCCGGGACGCGAUCGACGACGAGACCGAGGCACUCAAGCCUGUCCGAUAUGUGCUCUGUGGUCAAAAUGUUCCCAUGCUCGACGCUAAAGCAUCGGUUCUGUCAGAGUCAGAAUGAAAUUCCAGCUUAUCUGAUUCGGUUAUUCUUUGCUCCGGAUCCGCGUAUUGAUAGCUGUGAUGCGAAUUGGGCUCGAGAAGCUGCCCCUGCCCCAGGAGUACGUGCUCGAGGGAUUGCGGCAUAUGUUGAGCGCGUUCUUGGACGAUGAUCAGCG